AAGUCGUAACAAGGUUUCCGUAGGUGAACCUGCGGAAGGAUCAUUAUUGAAAUAAACCUGAUGGGCUGUUGCUGGUUCUCUAGAGAGCAUGUGCACGCCUUGUCAUCUUUAUAUCUCCACCUGUGCACUCUUUGUAGACCUUUCAGGUCUAUGUUGCCUGUUCAUUUACCCCAAUGUAUGUUAAUAGAAUGUUGUGCCUAUGAAAUAUAUACAACUUUCAGCAACGGAUCUCUUGGCUCUC
RNAcentral lists this unclassified non-coding RNA (241 nucleotides) under Cortinarius sp. RNAcentral describes it as "partial internal transcribed spacer region". The stretch from base 1 to 46 matches the Rfam family "Eukaryotic small subunit ribosomal RNA", at positions 1786 to 1831 of the family's 1831-position model. Lineage: Eukaryota; Fungi; Basidiomycota; Agaricomycetes; Agaricales; Cortinariaceae. The record is from RNAcentral.